CCCUUAAAUGUUCUGGGCCGCACGCGCGCUACACUGAUGCAUUCAACGAGUCUAAAACCUGGUCUGAUAGGGCUGGGUAAUCUUUUGAAUGUGCAUCGUGAUUGGGAUAGAUGAUUGCAAUUCUUCAUCUUCAACGAGGAAUGCCUAGUAAACGCAAGUCAUCAGCUUGCAUUGAUUACGUCCCUGCCCUUUGUACACACCGCCCGUCGCUCCUACCGAUUGAAUGUUCCGAUGAAUACCAUGGACUGAGAGUAUGAAUGGGUUCGCCUAUUUCUGCUUCUCGGGAAGUGGAGUAAAUCUUAACAUUUAGAGGAAGGAGAAGUCGUAACA
Molecule: ribosomal RNA, 330 nt
Filed under: uncultured eukaryote
Lineage: Eukaryota
Description: partial 18S ribosomal RNA
Rfam family: Eukaryotic small subunit ribosomal RNA
Source: RNAcentral